This 208-nucleotide ribosomal RNA is filed under the name uncultured bacterium. RNAcentral's name for it is "partial 16S ribosomal RNA". It matches the Rfam family "Bacterial small subunit ribosomal RNA", at positions 335 to 561 of the family's 1533-position model. The record is from RNAcentral.
ACUCCUACGGGAGGCAGCAGUGGGGAAUCUUGGACAAUGGGGGCAACCCGUGAUCCAGCCAUGCCGCGUGAGCGAUGAAGGCCUUAGGGUUGUAAAGCUCUUUCACCGGUGAAGAUAAUGACGGUAGCCGGAGAAGAAGCCCCGCUACUCCGUGCCAGCAGCCGCGGUAAUACGGAGGGGCGUAGCGUUGUUCGGAAUUACUGGGCGU